Long non-coding RNA from Lutra lutra (Eurasian river otter), 4027 nucleotides. RefSeq lists it as uncharacterized. NCBI's taxonomy places the organism in Eukaryota, Metazoa, Chordata, Mammalia, Carnivora, Mustelidae. The transcript is spliced from 3 exons. The record is from RefSeq and is a predicted model, not a curated record.
GGCUGCUGGCCCUCUGGCCAUCGGGGAUGCUGGGUCUGCGCAGGUAUGGACAGAACCCAGACUACGGAGGCACCGCUGGCCUCAGGAAAGUUACCUGCUGUCCGGGAAAGCCAGAACUCGGAAGCUUCUAACCCAGCCUGGCUCUAGAAUCACAAAACCUCAGUUUUCAAAAGGCCCAGGACCUCUCUGCUAUUCUCUCACCAAAAGCCGGGCAACGAUCUCAAAUUCGAUGUUGGUCCCCACUCUCUCAGCAACUCCCACCACCCACCACCACCCUCCCACCCCCAGCUCCACCAGCUUUUUCUGCCCCAGGACUUUGGGGAGGUAGGUGUGGGUGACCAAACUGUGGGAGACCAAACUGAGGUGACCAACAGCUAUUCACAGCCUGAAUCUUCCACAGAAAGCCUCAGCCCCACGUUCUUGGUGGCAGGGAAGGUGGACACAGGCCAGAUGCAGAAGGAAAACCCAGGCUCGGCCAGUCUGAGUGUGGGUCCCUGUUUCUAGCUGCCUGUGUCCAGGCCGCCCUGAUACUCUGGCUUCCGGGAUGCAUGAGCGUCCCACCUGGACGAAUGAGCACACACAGGAGCCUUCCUUGAGGAGAUUUCUGGAUCUGAGAACCAGGUGUGUGUGUGGGAGGGGGGAACAGGUACUUUUCCUCUUGUCCUCACAGAUGGCUGGCAGGCACCCCGCUUUCAACACCACAGGGAACCACGUUUCCAAGAAAAAGCUCCCGGAGCCACAGCAAGACAAAGGGGUUGUAUGUCACUUGGGGCAGCCCUUGGUUGUCAGUCUGAGGAAAUGUCUGGAACCUACCAGAGAAGCAGCUUCAGGUUACACGGAGCGGGGCUGUGGAGACUAGAGGGUGUGGUCCCAGGCCCAGCAGCCAGCCACAGCCCCGGCCCAGGCUCCUGUGGGGAUGAGAGGCCCAGGCGCUGAGGGAUGAUGGCACCCCAGAUGUCUGUUCAUUAUUUUCUCUGUCGGGAAGUCGGUCCUUCUUAACCGACUCCUAGCGGGCCACAAAUGGGGAGCACAUCACUUAGCCAUCAAAGGGGGUUUUGCCCAAUUAGUUCAGUCCCCAAGUCCAGAAUCAUUGGGCUGGGUGUUGUGGUCUUUCCUCAGAUCUUCAUGACUCACAGCCAGUAUUACGCACACCGAUCCUGAAACAGACACACACAGUCAUAGACACAUAAGCAUGUGGGUAUGCACCUCCCCCACACACACGUGCAGACGCAGAGACACGCCCUAACCUAGAAACACACACACAAACACACACACACCACAAACUCAUCCAAAGAUACAUGUGCAGAGACAUAAGGACCAACCCCCUCCACAUGCCCCCAAGGACACACACACACACAUUAACUCCCCCUUACACACACUCACAUUCAAAUACACAUAUUUGGCUAAUCACACAAAAUCUGCAGACCAAUCGUGCAAGUGUGUAAGGAGAUCUAAAGUCAGAAAACCACAUGCACGCACACACACACGCGCGCGCGCGCGCGCACACACACACGCACACACACACACAGACCUAACACUCUCAGAUGACCAGUCCCAAACCACAUACAGAUUCUACGCAGCUCUGUCCAACCGUACAGCUGACCCACGGCCUCCUGUCCCUGCCCAUGACCACGGUCCCGGUGUCCCAAGCACCCUGUACCAGAGCCCUCAGCAGGAGAAAAGGUGGCAGAUCAUUCAAGAGGCUCCCAGAAAGGAAAGAGCCAGGGGGCAAAUUUGGCCUGAGCCAGUGACAGUGACAUAAAAAGUCACCUUCCUGCCAUAUGGCUGAAUCCAACUUACACAUGGUGGCCCAUGGGCCAGGGGAAAGCCCGCACACCUCCCACCACCUGAGGAUGCAGCUGGACAAUUUGAAAAUGUUCCUGCAGGCUGCAUUCCAAAAGUCUUUUGGUUCUCAAAGAGCCCCCAACUCAAUCAGUACAACUAAAGAAUGAACCCUAUGGAGAAUUACAUAUGAGAAGUGAACAACGCAGUGCUUUUGAAAGUGAAACAUUUGGCUAAUUAGGAUGUAUCUUGCACGAAAAAAUUGUAUUUGAUGUUUAGCAACAUGGAAAAAUAUGUAAGUUAUAUCAUAGCUUUAAGGAAAUAAACUUGGAUGGAAUUUUUUAUGAGGAUUACAACGAUGCCAGUAAACAAGCAGUCGACAACGGGAAAUAGGAAAGAAAAUGCAAGUGAUGGGAGGAAAUUCCCUUUUCCCAGACUUCUGCAAAAUGGACAAAUAAAAAUUAAAUCUAGCUAGCCACAGAGAAUAAGGUCACCAUCUCCAACGUUUAGAGAUACCUUCUUUGUAGAAGCAGAAGGAGUCCAGUUUAGCAAGUUUGAUGCUGAGGACACACUCGCUUGCUAAUUUGUCAAUUUGGAAAGAUCCAGCUUUAUGUGGGAUGUGGCCGUUCACGGAUAAAGCAUUAAUGAGGACUUGCCAGGUGCAUGUAAUUGGGGUCACACAGAUGAAGAAAACUUUCUUUAAACCCUAAGGCUUCUUGGAGGAGAUGGUGCUGGAACUGAGGUUGGAGGAGACAUAGAAGGACAUGUGGAUUCCAGCAGUGGUUAGGAGACCAGGAGACAAAAUGAAGCAAGGAGGGGCUUGUGAAGACAACAGUGGCUCUGGGGGUUCUUACAACAGGACUAGAUGGGUCAUGGGGGAAUUCAUAAGGAGAGGCAGCAUGGGGCUUCAGGAUGGGGCUGGGGGGAAAGCGGUUCCACUUUGGACCCAACGGUUUGGAGUACCCCAAAAUGCCACCCACUCUCCAUGGAGCUAUAGAAGGGAGAGUGAUCAGGGUAAAGAUAGUGGAGGAAGCUUGCAGGUUUGUAGAAAAUAAUUCAUAGUGUAAGAAAAUAAUCAAGGAGCUAACUCCAGGGAAGAGAGCUAGUAAAGGGGUUGGUGGAAAGAUUGGAACCCAUGAAGACAGAAAGGAGCUGGUCAGAGGUAGAACUUCCUGUCACAAAAUGCAAAGGAAGGGUCAAGGCAAAGGGCUAACCAACAUGCGAAAGAGUCUUAAAGGUAAGAUGGGGUCGGUACAAAGUCUUGGGAGAGGACAUCAAGAACAUUUAUUGACAAUGAUGCCUUUAAAGGUCCUACCCACCCAGAGCACCAAGGAGAGCAUCAAGAAAUAGGUUUCAGCUUAUGGAAAUCAACUGUCUAUAAUAAACACUUUGAGUCCAGUAUGAUCCCGAAAGGUAAAUUGGCCAAAGCUUAUCAUAAUAUAAAAAUGAAUUACUAGAACCUUCCUUAUCAGCCAAGCUACCCUGGGCUUAUUAGAUGGUUUGGCUGGAGACCAAGUGGUAAAUAAUCAAUAUUUAUGAUGAUUCCCUCAUAUAGGUAGUUAACUCUUUGGUCUAAACUGAGCCAGAUCUCCUACGCCAAAAAAAAGGUUUCCCUGGUUUUCCUUUUGCCUCUCUAGUCUCCCAAGUUUACUAAUAAAUUUUAAAACACAUGUUAACAAAUUAAGCACAAAUUUUAAAAAUUUCAAAUUGGUUUCGUUGAAAAAGAUGGCCCUGAUUCUAGGUUGGGCCUCCCGACACAGACUGGAAACAUUAAAUAAAAAGUUAGUAUAUAAUAAUUUGUAAAUUUUUGUGUGUGGUUCUGGGUGAAAUGUGAGCCAUGAAAAGUCUUGCUCUGGGUUGUUAAAAAAAGGGAACAUUAUGUGGCAAAAGUCCUCAUCUAGAACAUUAAUGCUAAUGUUUCAAAAUCUGUAAACUAUGCAGUAUAGAUGCUGUUGAAAUGGCCAAAUAAAAUAGAGAAUUGACCAAAGAGAGCAAGAUGCUUGACUCCUUUAGAAUUUGGUGAGUCAUUCUCGUCUUAAUAACUGGGGACAGACAUAAAGAGUAUAACACAAUGCCUGGCACACAUUACUCCAAAAAUAUUAGCUGCUAUUAUAAGAAAGGAUCUGUUCACGGAUAAUAAAACUAAAUUUAAACAAUGCAGACUGUAAAGGGAAUUUAAAUAGAGAACUGACCUCACUACAACAACUUCUCACAGUAAAUAAUUAGCCCUUUAUGUGGUAUUUUG